AAAAAUAUAAAAAUACUUGCCCUCUUAGUCAGAGACAUUUCAAGUCUAGGGUUGGGUUUCUCAUUUCUUUCUCUUCGAGUUCGAUUCCUUCUACAGCAGCUCCUCUCCUCCUUCUGUGACGACGAGAAGAUGCCGGCGACCACAUCUCCUCUCCUCUCAAGUAGGUUUUCACAGUUAUGAUUUCUCUUUCUCACUCUCAUCUCUUCUUCUCUCUCUGGCCUCUGUCGUCGGUUAUUUCAAAGCAGAGAACCUUGGCUUUCUCAGGUCGUCUUUGUCUCCAUCUCAGGAGUUGGGUUUUUUUUUUGGUGGUCUCUCAGAUUCUGAAAACCGCAGAGCAUAGACCAGAUCUUCUUCUUCAUCACCAUCAUCAAUGUUUGUCAGAAAGCUUGUGGAGAAGGCUUCCAAAAAGGCAAGUGAUGUUCCUUUUCUCUUAACCUUCAAUGAAUUUUCAACCCAGCAAUCAAUCUCUCUGUUUCUUUAAGAACAUGGUUCAAUAUCAAUUCAAUGAGAUCAGUCCAUGCUUUUGAAUUUGAUCCACUGUUCUUCUCCUCCUCUUCCCUCCUCUUGUUCUUCUUGUUCUUGUGAAAAAAAACAGAGAAGGGUACUCAAAAGCUAGAAUUAAUAACGAAUUAAAUCUGUCAUUAAGAUAAUAAUUGUCGGGGGAUCUGCAAAUAAAGUUACUUGCUAUCAUUUAUGCUGUAUCCUUUAGCCGUUUGAUGCACGUUGCCUCCAAAUUUUUAAUCAUUUUAGUACUGAACAUAUGUAUAUUAUUAUGUAUGUCAGGUUAAUAAUUAUGAACAAAUAAAUAACUGCCAUAUACAUAUUUUGUUGAUUAUUUUGAUGACAACAGUAAUAAAGAUGGGAUGAAAAAUAAAUAAAAUAUUA
This is an RNA transcript of Prunus dulcis (almond), 885 nucleotides long. RefSeq lists it as uncharacterized. The transcript has 2 exons. NCBI's taxonomy places the organism in Eukaryota, Viridiplantae, Streptophyta, Magnoliopsida, Rosales, Rosaceae. The record is from RefSeq and is a predicted model, not a curated record.